ACAGCUCAAUACUGAACAAUUCCAAAUAGAUACAUAUGAUCCGGACACACAGGAGGUUAUUUCCAAGGGAACAGCUAUCGUGGCGGACUGGAUAAAACCACUAUUGGAGAAAAAAUAAAAUUAGAAGAAAAAGGUUAUAAUGAGAACACUAACAAUUGCCUCAAGAUAAGAUUGACAAAAGGAUCCAAAUCCUUUGACCCAACCCCCUCCUGGGAACUCAAAUUCUUUUACACAAGAAAGGGUAAAAUGGUCUGCGAGUGGAAAUGGAAGUUACUGGGACCAGAACAUAAAAAUGACUAAUAUGGAAGUGUUUAAGAAGCUGCUGGAUUCUAUAGUGCCCAAGAAACAGCUCUCAUCAGACUGACAAAGAGCUACUUGGUUUGUGGAAGGCGUUUCAAGGGAGACUGGACAACAUCUUGUUGGGAAGGCUGUUACUCUGAAGAAGAAUCAAGAGAACCUAUUUUCUUUCUAGCUAUUUACAGCUUAGAAAAGUUGUGACACAAUUGGAGACACUGAUUAUUUUAUCAAGGCUUUGACUGGAAUGGCAUAUAUUCAAAUAUGACCAGAUUGAGGAAUUGAGGUCAAGUUUA
This 590-nucleotide long non-coding RNA is filed under the name Homo sapiens (human). RNAcentral describes it as "HSALNT0408665". Lineage: Eukaryota; Metazoa; Chordata; Mammalia; Primates; Hominidae. The record is from RNAcentral.